GCACGGGCAGGGGUAACUCUGUCAGUGGCGGACGGGUGAGUAACGCGUAGGUAUCUAUCCUCGGGUGGGGGACAACCACGGGAAACUGUGGCUAAUACCGCAUGAUGACUGAGGUCUAAAGGCGCAAGUCGCCUGAGGAGGAGCCUGCGUCCGAUUAGCUUGUUGGUGGGGUAAUGGCCUACCAAGGCUCCGAUCGGUAGCUGGUCUGAGAGGAUGAUCAGCCACACUGGGACUGAGACACGGCCCAGACUCCUACGGGAGGCAGCAGUGGGGAAUAUUGGACAAUGGGCGAAAGCCUGAUCCAGCAAUGCCGCGUGGGUGAAGAAGGUCUUCGGAUUGUAAAGCCCUUUCGGCGGGGACGAUGAUGACGGUACCCGCAGAAGAAGCCCCGGCUAACUUCGUG
RNAcentral lists this ribosomal RNA (403 nucleotides) under uncultured bacterium. RNAcentral describes it as "bacterial SSU rRNA". It matches the Rfam family "Bacterial small subunit ribosomal RNA", at positions 64 to 507 of the family's 1533-position model. The record is from RNAcentral.